Molecule: ribosomal RNA, 306 nt
Filed under: Triticum aestivum (bread wheat)
Lineage: Eukaryota; Viridiplantae; Streptophyta; Magnoliopsida; Poales; Poaceae
Description: partial small subunit ribosomal RNA
Source: RNAcentral
AUGAUGAGCAGCAGGUGCUGCUGCUUAUCCCUGAGUCAGAUUGAGGAGGGAAAAGAAGCCAUGGCAGCGGCUGUGUUUCAGAUUUGGAGUGGCUCGGAUGCAAGUAUACCUGGCCAUGGGAUACCCGGCCCGGCUGGACCUGGCCAGAAAAAGCCCGGUCUUGCUUGCAGGCCAGGCCUGGGCCUGAAUGUUGAGGCCGAAGCACAUGUCGCCUGGGCUUGGCUUUUUUGUGUUUUAGGGAAGGGGCCCGGCCCGAGGCCCGGCAGGCUUUUUCACCGUAGAGACGGGCUUAGGCCUAAAAACUAG